RNAcentral lists this ribosomal RNA (437 nucleotides) under uncultured bacterium. Its description in RNAcentral is "partial 16S ribosomal RNA". It matches the Rfam family "Bacterial small subunit ribosomal RNA", at positions 29 to 507 of the family's 1533-position model. The record is from RNAcentral.
AGCGAACGCUGGCGGCAGGCUUAACACAUGCAAGUCGAGCGGGCAUCCUUGUGGUGUCAGCGGCAGACGGGUGAGUAACGCGUGGGAACGUGCCCUUCGGUUCGGAAUAACUCGGGGAAACUUGAGCUAAUACCGGAUACGUGCGAGAGCAGAAAGGUUUAUCUGCCGAAGGAUCGGCCCGCGUCUGAUUAGCUAGUUGGUGAGGUUAUGGCUCACCAAGGCGACGAUCAGUAGCUGGUCUGAGAGGAUGAUCAGCCACACUGGGACUGAGACACGGCCCAGACUCCUACGGGAGGCAGCAGUGGGGAAUAUUGGACAAUGGGGGCAACCCUGAUCCAGCCAUGCCGCGUGAGUGAUGACGGCCUUAGGGUUGUAAAGCUCUUUUCUUCGGGAUGAUAAUGACGGUACCGGAGGAAUAAGCCCCGGCUAACUUCGUG